Molecule: unclassified non-coding RNA, 217 nt
Filed under: Hevea brasiliensis (rubber tree)
Lineage: Eukaryota; Viridiplantae; Streptophyta; Magnoliopsida; Malpighiales; Euphorbiaceae
Source: RNAcentral
UGAGGGUGAUGAUUGAUAAUGCAUUCAAGCAUUUUGAUUUAUGGUUUGCAUCUUCUUGUCCAUCCCUUUGGACAUUGGUAGAUGAGGGGAAUAGCAGAAGUUUAGGAUUCUCAUUUUCAACCCUUAUCUAGUUGGUGUUGUGGCUAUUUGUCAUUGGGAGCAUCCUACAGAGAGAAUUGUCAAUUCCCAAUGAACUUUGCCGGCCAAUACAAGGAAG